This 68-nucleotide transfer RNA is filed under the name Marmota monax (woodchuck). RNAcentral describes it as "tRNA.Ala". The record is from RNAcentral. Lineage: Eukaryota; Metazoa; Chordata; Mammalia; Rodentia; Sciuridae.
GGAUUGUGGCUCAAUGGUAGAGUGCUCACCUAGCAUAUGUGAGGCACUGGGUUCAAUCCUCAGCACCA